GACGAACGCUGGCGGCGUGCUUAACACAUGCAAGUCGACCGGAAAGGCCCUGCUUUUGUGGGGUGCUCGAGUGGCGAACGCGUGAGUAACACGUGAGUAACCUGCCCUUGACUUUUGGAUAACUUCAGGAAACUGGGGCUAAUACCGGAUAGGAGCUCCUGCUGCAUGGUGGGGGUUGGAUAGUUUCGGCGGUUGGGGAUGGACUCGCGGCUUAUCAGCUUGUUGGUUGGGUAGUGGCUUACCAAGGCUUUGCCGGGUAGCCGGCCUGAGAGGGUGACCGGCGACAUUGGGACUGAGAUACGGCCCAGACGGCUACGGGAGGCAGCAGUGGGGAAUAUUGCACAAUGGGAGGAAGCCUGAUGCAGCAACGCCGCGUGCGGGAUGACGGCCUUCGGGUUGUAAACCGCUUUCGCCUGUGACGAAGCGUGAGUGACGGUAAUGGGUAAAGAAGCACCGGCUAACUACGUG
Molecule: ribosomal RNA, 468 nt
Filed under: uncultured bacterium
Lineage: Bacteria
Description: partial 16S ribosomal RNA
Rfam family: Bacterial small subunit ribosomal RNA
Source: RNAcentral